UGGCACCUGGCCCCUUAGGAUCCUAACCUUGUGUUGGGGGGGUCUCGGGAAGCAUGCUAUGGUGGGCAAGGAAGGCUCCACCUCUCACCAGCUGUGAAGUCUUGGGCUGAGCCUCAGUCUCCUUAUGCACAAAAUGUGAGCAAUAAGACUUACCCUCUUAGGUCAUAGAGGGGAAAAAUGAAAAAACCAAGAGAGAUUGAUAGAGCUGGCAUAUAGCAGAUGCUCAAAAAAUGCUAAUUUCUUUCCGUCCCUUUUUUCCCUUCCAUAUAUUCCUACAGAUCAGGCUUGUUUUCACUCCCUGCCCCAUCACUGACCUGCCAAGCCCUCCUCCCUGUGUGAUUUGGCCAAGCCCAGCAGGGAGAGAAGGAAGCUAACAUUUCUGUGUGCCAAGCCCCUUGCUAAGGUCACAAACCGCUCAUUUAUUCUUCUAGAGAACCCAUCACUCAGAUUGGCAGAUAGAGGCUUGAUGAGCUGGGGAGUGUCAGAAGCAGCGUGGUCCAGCCCAAAAGUCUCUCUCUCUCUCCAGUUCACCUACGACUUCAAGGUCCAACCAUCUUGGGCCAGAGAGAGGCCAGUGGGAACCCGUGGCAACUCCUUCCAAGGCCUCUUGCCCUAGAGUCCAGGUACUUUCAUGAGAAAUUCCUAGGCAGAGGCCUCAGGAGUGCUGUUCAGUGAAGGGAUUUCCAUCCUUAUGACUGGGCCUGUGGUGGGAAGGAUGGUGGAAUGGGGCGAGGAAGGAACCUGCUAGAGUUUCUUGUGUAAGGAAGUAUUAAUAAUUGGUUCCUUCUCCCUCCCUCUCCCCUACCCACAAAUACAAUAAAAGCACUCAAAGGAACUUCAGUUUCAAAUAGAAAAUUAAAAGGCAAAGAAGAUGGAGGAAGUCAGACCUUUCAUGAGACAAGUGAUCUUACUUAGUUCUGAGUUCCUUUGUAGGCUAGGAAAAAAGAGAAAGAGGAUUGGUUAUAGUUCUUGCUGCGAAAGAAAGGGAGUCAGGCAGAUCCUCAGGAGAGAGACAAAGGAUUUAUUUCCUGGUACUGAAUUCUAAGAAAAGGCUCCUACUCAAGCUUCGGGAAGGGGACAUGGGCUCCACCUGACCCUAGAUGAUAGUUUAACGAGGAACAGUUUUCAUAUGACGAUCCCUUCGAAUAGCCUUCAGAAGGCACUGGGGGCUUAACUCAGAUAUCAUUAGCUCAAUGAAGGCCACUGGGGUGGGAGAAGAUGCAGGGGUACAUGCCUUUGGAUCACUGAUCUGGGAUCUCACCUUCAGGCCUGGCUGGGGCUCCCUCCCCCGCCCAGCAUGGCCAGGCCUGAGGGCGCAAGGAGCCAAUGAAAAGAGGAAUAAGAUGGUGACACUCACCCACUGUGGGUCACUCUGGAGGUCAGAUGGGUUGAUGUCAGCAGAGUGCCAAACACACAAUGAGUGCCUAUGAAUGGCAGCACAUCUUGCGUGUGAACUGGGGGAGGAGGCUAAUGGAUCCAAGGUCAAGGAGUUAGGGAGGGAGCUCCCUCUCCAGGAGCCCACACCAUGGGGUCCCAGGCGAAGCAUGCUUGGAAGGUGGCAUCUGCAGACCUAUCCGAUUGCUCAGCCUGCAGGCUCAGCUGCCCCUGCUUCCAGGGUUGGGGCAGUCUGACUGGGGCCCCACCCGCAGCCACCACCCCCAGACUCCUAACUAGUGCCCAGGACAGGUCUUGCUUCUUUAGUAAGAUCAGGCAUCAAGGAGGGACUUCCGGACUGUCCUGUCCUCCUCCUUGAGGAGCCCACAGGGCCAAAGCCCUACCCUGGUCACCCAUCAUGGAGGGGCCUAGUGGAACUCAGAGCCUGGGGUGUCAUCUGAUCCAGGAGCUCACAUUCAAGCUUAGCUGGGGCUCCCCCCACCUCCAGAUCCCUUUCAGCUGGAAAUUCUAUCAGUCCCAGGAGGCCUUGUUCAUGGCCCCAGCUCACCAGGUAUCAAAGGAAGAAAGUCACAAAACCAGCACAAGUAGGGCCCUUAGAAGAGGCCAUCUCUGGGGGAGAUGGCACUGGAGGCAGCUGGGCCUGUCCAGGAAGG
This is a long non-coding RNA of Sapajus apella (tufted capuchin), 2048 nucleotides long. RefSeq lists it as uncharacterized. The record is from RefSeq and is a predicted model, not a curated record. NCBI's taxonomy places the organism in Eukaryota, Metazoa, Chordata, Mammalia, Primates, Cebidae. The transcript is spliced from 2 exons.